AGGCGUGUAGCUCAACUGGCAGAGCAACGGUCUCCAAAACCGUAGGUUGGGGGUUCGAGUCCCUCCACGCCUG
RNAcentral lists this transfer RNA (73 nucleotides) under Candidatus Eiseniibacteriota bacterium. RNAcentral describes it as "tRNA-Trp". It matches the Rfam family "tRNA". From Rfam's summary of the family: Transfer RNA (tRNA) molecules are approximately 80 nucleotides in length. Their secondary structure includes four short double-helical elements and three loops (D, anti-codon, and T loops). Lineage: Bacteria; Candidatus Eiseniibacteriota. RNAcentral also lists the same sequence under 1 other name. The record is from RNAcentral.